GGGGGUGAUCGGUUUCGACUUGGGACGUCAGUCCCAGGGGAAGCGGGUCGAGGAUCCAGGGUCAACUCGUUGAUGCUCCCUGGAAAACACAAGUGCCAAUGCUAAGCGCACUGACUUCGCUCUCGCUGCCUGAGCAGUGAUCGAAGGGUCAGCCCGGGGCCGUCUCCGACCCGGAUCCUGGCCUCGACUAGGAGACUUGCUGACGACGUUGUGUCCCAGGACGUCGUCGGGACUUCACUGAGACUGGGCCCGUCCGCCACCUUGUCAGCGUGAGUGCGGGGGCCGAGAAAAUCAGUAGCUGACUGCACCCGGAGAAGCCCUGGUUCGGCGCUCGAGGACGCGGGUUCGAUUCCCGCCACCUCCACC
RNAcentral lists this transfer-messenger RNA (366 nucleotides) under chicken gut metagenome. It matches the Rfam family "transfer-messenger RNA". From Rfam's summary of the family: Bacterial tmRNA, also known as 10Sa RNA or SsrA, is named for its dual tRNA and mRNA-like properties. Its role is to liberate the mRNA from a stalled ribosome. The record is from RNAcentral.